AGAGUUUGAUCCUGGCUCAGAGUGAACGCUGGCGGCGUGCUUAACACAUGCAAGUCGAACGAGAACAGAAGAGAGCUUGCUCUCUUGCUGCUAAGUGGCGCACGGGUGAGUAAUAUAUAGGUAAUAUGCCUCUUACUAAGGGAUAAUUGUUGGAAACGACUUGUAAUACCUUAUAUGCCUUUUGAACAUAAGUUCGUAAAGGGAAAGAUUUAUCGGUAAGAGAUUAGCCUGUACGGUAUCAGAUAGUUGGUGGGGUAAUGGCCUACCAAGUCUAUGACACCUAACUGGUUUGAGAGGAUGAUCAGUCACACUGGAACUGAGACACGGUCCAGACUCCUACGGGAGGCAGCAGUGGGGAAUAUUGCACAAUGGACGAAAGUCUGAUGCAGCAACGCCGCGUGGAGGAUGACACAUUUCGGUGCGUAAACUCCUUUUAUAUGAGAAGAUAAUGACGGUAUCAUAUGAAUAAGCACCGGCUAACUCCGUGCCAGCAGCCGCGGUAAUACGGGGGGUGCAAGCGUUACUCGGAAUCACUGGGCGUAAAGAGCAUGUAGGCGGGUGAAUAAGUUGGAAGUGAAAUCCUAUAGCUUAACUAUAGAACUGCUUCCAAAACUGUUCACCUAGAGUAUGGGAGAGGUAGAUGGAAUUUCUGGUGUAGGGGUAAAAUCCGUAGAGAUCAGAAGGAAUACCGAUUGCGAAGGCGAUCUACUGGAACAUUACUGACGCUCAGAUGCGAAAGCGUGGGGAGCAAACAGGAUUAGAUACCCUGGUAGUCCACGCCCUAAACGAUGUACACUAGUUGUUGCUAUACUAGAUAUGGCAGUAAUGCAGU
RNAcentral lists this ribosomal RNA (832 nucleotides) under uncultured bacterium. RNAcentral describes it as "bacterial SSU rRNA". It matches the Rfam family "Bacterial small subunit ribosomal RNA", at positions 8 to 852 of the family's 1533-position model. The record is from RNAcentral.